AAUUCGUAAAGCCGGCUGUACACAUGGGGUCAAGGUGUUGGGCCAACGUGUAGAGAGCUACUUGACGGUAUGUUGGCUUAAUUGGUCUAGUUGGCGCCAACAUUGACAGGCCAUCCGAAUAGUGUCGGUUUUUAGUGCACACAUCAAAGGAUCUUGGCGCGCUCCGCAAACAGCGUUCACACGUUGGUGUCUUGUUCAGUUCGUUGUUACUCGUCAGUGGAGACAGUAUCGUUGCGCGUGAGUGAAAUUUACGUUCCCAUGUUCCGAUAGCGAUGGCGGCGCCGGUGUGGACAAGUAAUGAGGUUUUACAAUUCAUAGAAUUGUAUCGACAUGAAGGAAUAAUUUGGAAUCCACGGCAUGAACUACAUAAAAAUAAAACCAAAGUUAAUGAUGCGUGGAUUCGCAUAGCGGAUAAAAUUAAUAUACCUGUUAAUGAAUUGAAAAAGAAAAAAGAGUCAUUAAUGACAACAUUCAGAAUGCACCACAAAAAGAAAACUCAAUCAAUAAAAUCAGGAAUUGGUGAAGAUGAACGAUAUGAUCCUAUUUGGCCGUAUUACGAGCCUCUCGAAGCUUUUUUAAACGAUGUCUAUGUAUGCUCCAGUGUUAACACUGAGGAAAAGAUUAUAUACAGGAUUCGUCAUCCACACGUGACUACGAAACAGAGGCAGAAACCGACUUCAAUCGUCCCGUUAUUGAAAGUGACACAUCUCAAGAUGGGAAUACGAGUACUAAAUCAAAAGUUACUGCUCUUCCAACUCAAAAGCGCCGUUCGAAAAAUCCACCAGAGUUAUCAGAGGCCAGCAAGGAGGUGGCAAAUGCUUUUGGCACAUUAAACAGAGUGUUUGAUAAUAAAACUGCAAGACAUGAUGAUGAUUGUGAUCUAUAUGCUAAACUUCUUGCCACAAAAUUAAGAAAAUUUCCAGAAUAUGAAAGAGAAGAAAUUAAGUUAGAGAUUGAUAGCAUGUUGAUAAAAAGACGUCGAGGUAGCCAAAAUAUUAUUACUGAUUCCACUAAUAUGAAUCGUUCAUCCUCCUCACAAAGUUCUUAUCGCUCAAACUGGUCUCGCUCAUCUCCUUCACCACACUACCGACCCAACUCAGCACAGUCCAUCCUUCCAACUUACGUUACUAUUCCCAAUCAAUCUCCGCAUAACCCAUCCCAUUCACCGCAGUAUGUUUUUAAUGAACCCCAAACUCAACGUAUUCUGAUAUUGUCUAAUGAUAAAAUAUAUUCACAAUCACAACUAAUGCAGUCUUCAUCUGCUCAAAGGCUACAAACAGCAUCUCCAGAACUACCUGUUGACCUUCAUUUACCAGAAUUAUCUGAUAGAACGUACGACCAGUCUCAGUCUUUAGAGACUCAAAAUAUAAUAUAUCAGGCAUAUGAAGACGCAUAAAACACACAAAUGAAAAGUUCAUGUGAUGCUAAACAUUGUUUCAUGAUGAUUCAAGUAAUUGAUCUCUACAUGGUAAAAUAAAGACUGUUGUAUUUUGAAACU
This is a long non-coding RNA of Leptidea sinapis, 1498 nucleotides long. RefSeq lists it as uncharacterized. The record is from RefSeq and is a predicted model, not a curated record. Lineage: Eukaryota; Metazoa; Arthropoda; Insecta; Lepidoptera; Pieridae. The transcript is spliced from 3 exons.